RNAcentral lists this ribosomal RNA (506 nucleotides) under uncultured bacterium. RNAcentral's name for it is "partial 16S ribosomal RNA". It matches the Rfam family "Bacterial small subunit ribosomal RNA", at positions 28 to 523 of the family's 1533-position model. The record is from RNAcentral.
GAUGAACGCUAGCUACAGGCUUAACACAUGCAAGUCGAGGGGUAACAAGAGAAAAGCUUGCUUUUCUUGUUGACGACCGGCGCACGGGUGAGUAACGCGUAUCCAACCUGCCUAUAACUAGGGAAUAACCUUGCGAAAGUAAGACUAAUGCCCUAUGACUUCCUUUGGCGGCAUCAAAAAAGGAAUAAAGAUUUAUCGGUUAUAGAUGGGGAUGCGUCUGAUUAGCUUGUUGGCGGGGUAACGGCCCACCAAGGCAACGAUCAGUAGGGGUUCUGAGAGGAAGGUCCCCCACAUUGGAACUGAGACACGGUACAAACUCCUACUGGAGGCAGCAGUGAGGAAUAUUGGUCAAUGGGCGGAAGCCUGAACCAGCCAAGUAGCGUGCAGGAUGACGGCCCUAUGGGUUGUAAACUGCUUUUAUACAGGGAUAAAGUUAGCCACGUGUGGUUAUUUGCAGGUACUGUAUGAAUAAGGACCGGCUAAUUCCGUGCCAGCCGCCGCGGUAA